Beta vulgaris subsp. vulgaris (sugar beet) is the source of this 1081-nucleotide long non-coding RNA. RefSeq lists it as uncharacterized. NCBI's taxonomy places the organism in Eukaryota, Viridiplantae, Streptophyta, Magnoliopsida, Caryophyllales, Amaranthaceae. The record is from RefSeq and is a predicted model, not a curated record. The transcript has 3 exons.
CCAGCUCAUCCACGUUCCCCAUCAAAAUCCUCUCUUUCUUUCUCUCUCUUUCUCACUUUCUCUCUCUCUCUCUCUCUCUCUCUCUCUCUCCUCUUUCUAAACUCUAUAUAUAUCUCCAUCAUCCAAUCCAUUCAACUUUAUCUCCUUCUAAUUCCUCUUUUAUUUCUCUCUCUCUCUCUCCUUCAUCUUCCUUCUUCCUUGGUGGGUGGGGUUAGCUUCUUGUUUCCGCACAAGAAUCAAAUCCCCAUCCAUCUAUUCAACAAAUCAAACAUUAUGGCUCGAUCUCUCUCUCAAUUACGCACUCACCUCUCCAUUCUCUCUAAUACUCACUCAUCCGCCACCCGUCUCGUUAACUUACGACACCGUUCAAAUUCGCCGGAGAUUUUAUUCUCCGGCGAUAUUCCGGCGGAAGAGAUUGAGAAGGUGGCGAUUAAGAAUUUAGAAGAAGCGAUUCAUAAGAUAAUUGUUAAAAAAUCGGAACCUGAUUGGAUCCCUUUUGUUCCUGGCGCUUCUUAUUGGGUCCCACCUAAGAGUAAGUCUCAAGGGCUGGCCCACGUUGUUGGCAAAUUGGCGGGUAAUAAGAGGGUGGAUAAGUCUUUUUCUCUCUCCUCUAAUCGUAAUCGUGGUUGGCCUUCUUCUGCUCAUUUUUUUAAAGGGGCAUCCCAUUCUCCAUUGGAGGGAGAGACAAUAUUUAAGCACACAUCAAAGUCUGAGGAAGAGGAAGGGUAAAUCUGCUCUCUUGACAGAAAAUUGUACCCAAGGCUCCCACCAGUUGUUAAUUAUUUGUGGAAAGGUGGAGAUGUAUCAGCGAUCGAGAGUUUCGAUACAUUGUUGCUUUGUUGAAAGAAGGUGACGAGGAUGCAGCCUGAUUGCUCGGAGGCGAAAACCACAGGGACACAGGAUUAUUUCAAGGUGAAAUCAACCAGCAUUUACACUGACAGAAAAAGUUAUUUGUAGUUCUUUGUAAAAUAUUGAAUAGAUUUGUUUGUAACUAUAAUAUCAUCCUUGAACAAGAGGUGCCAAAUGCUCAAUUGUUCCUGUGUUGUAAAUGAGUAAUGAAUUGUAUUCGUUGUCUGAAGAA